Molecule: long non-coding RNA, 1031 nt
Filed under: Ricinus communis (castor bean)
Lineage: Eukaryota; Viridiplantae; Streptophyta; Magnoliopsida; Malpighiales; Euphorbiaceae
Description: long non-coding RNA (RCOM_LNC000372)
Source: RNAcentral
ACUGCACUGAAGAAUUCGAUGCAAUCCAUUCUGAUAAGGCCAAGAAAAUGCUCGAGGAUUAUCGAAUUGGAGAGCUAGUCGAUUCGACAGCUUAUACAACUGAUUCCAAUGCAUCCUCCCCGAACAAUUCAGUGCAUGGUGCAUCCAAUAUGUCACAAACACCUUUAGCUCCAAUCAAGGAAAUUACACCUACUCCAGCAAGAAAUGUUGCCCUUGUUCCACGAGAAAAAAUCGCAUGCAAGCUGGUGAAGAAAGAGUCACUUUCACAUGAUGUGCGUCUCUUUCGAUUUGCAUUACCAUCCGAUGAUCAAGUGUUAGGGUUACCAGUUGGGAAACACAUUUUUCUGUGUGCUACUAUUGAUGAAAAGCUAUGCAUGCGAGCUUAUACGCCAACUAGCACCAUUGAUGUGGUGGGGUACUUUGAUCUUGUGAUCAAGGUUUACUUCAAGGGCGUUCAUCCAAAGUUUCCUAAUGGAGGGCUCAUGUCUCAGCAUCUGGACUCACUACAGCUCGGGUCUGUAAUAGACGUGAAGGGUCCUUUGGGUCAUAUCGAGUAUGCUGGGCGUGGCAAUUUCAUGGUUCAUGGCAAACCCAAAUUCGCCAAGAAGCUAACCAUGUUGGCAGGAGGAACAGGAAUAACACCAAUUUAUCAAGUAAUUCAAGCUAUUCUGAAAGAUCCAGAAGACGAUACAGAGAUGUAUGUGGUGUACGCUAAUCGUACGGAAGAUGAUAUUUUGUUAAGAGAAGAGCUUGAUUCCUGGGCAAAAGAGCAUCAUGAAAGAUUAAAGGUAUGGUAUGUUGUCCAAGAAUCUAUCAAGGAAGGGUGGCAAUAUAGUGUUGGGUUCAUCACAGAAAAUAUCUUGAGGGAGCAUGUUCCCGAAGGAUCAGAUGAUACUCUUGCUUUGGCUUGUGGACCUCCACCUAUGAUUCAGUUUGCUGUCCAGCCAAAUUUAGAGAAGAUGAACUAUGAUAUCAAGAAUUCAUUGCUAGUAUUCUAGAGGACGAGAAGGAGAUGAUCAAGAAAAAUUCUU